GAUGAACGCUGGCGGCGUGCCUAAUACAUGCAAGUCGAGCGAACAGACGAGGAGCUUGCUCCUCUGACGUUAGCGGCGGACGGGUGAGUAACACGUGGAUAACCUACCUAUAAGACUGGUAUAACUUCGGGAAACCGGAUCUAAUACCGGAUAAUAUAUUGAACCGCAUGGUUCAAUAGUGAAAUACGGUUUUGCUGUCACUUAUAGAUGGAUCCGCGCCGCAUUAGCUAGUUGGUAAGGUAACGGCUUACCAAGGCAACGAUGCGUAGCCGACCUGAGAGGGUGAUCGGCCACACUGGAACUGAGACACGGUCCAGACUCCUACGGGAGGCAGCAGUAGGGAAUCUUCCGCAAUGGGCGAAAGCCUGACGGAGCAACGCCGCGUGAGUGAUGAAGGUCUUCGGAUCGUAAAACUCUGUUAUUAGGGAAGAACAAAUGUGUAAGUAACUAUGCACGUCUUGACGGUACCUAAUCAGAAAGCCACGGCUAACUACGUG
This 497-nucleotide ribosomal RNA is filed under the name uncultured bacterium. RNAcentral describes it as "partial 16S ribosomal RNA". It matches the Rfam family "Bacterial small subunit ribosomal RNA", at positions 28 to 507 of the family's 1533-position model. The record is from RNAcentral.